RNAcentral lists this unclassified non-coding RNA (330 nucleotides) under soil metagenome. RNAcentral describes it as "partial contains 5.8S ribosomal RNA, internal transcribed spacer 2, and large subunit ribosomal RNA". The stretch from base 1 to 120 matches the Rfam family "5.8S ribosomal RNA", at positions 35 to 154 of the family's 154-position model. The record is from RNAcentral.
GAUGAAGAACUUAGCGAAAUGCGAUAAGUAAUGUGAAUUGCAGAAUUCAGUGAAUCAUCGAAUCUUUGAACGCACAUUGCGCCCCCUGGUAUUCCGGGGGGCAUGCCUGUCCGAGCGUCAUUACAACCCUCAAGCUCAGCUUGGUGCUGGGCCCCGCCGCCCCGGCGGGCCCUAAAGUCAGUGGCGGUGCCGUCCGGCUCCGAGCGUAGUAAUUCUUCUCGCUCUGGAGGUCCGGUCGUGUGCUCGCCAGCAACCCCCAAUUUUUUUCAGGUUGACCUCGGAUCAGGUAGGGAUACCCGCUGAACUUAAGCAUAUCAAUAAGCGGAGGAA